This 92-nucleotide non-coding RNA is filed under the name Corchorus capsularis. The record is from RNAcentral. Lineage: Eukaryota; Viridiplantae; Streptophyta; Magnoliopsida; Malvales; Malvaceae.
GCCGAGCUAGGUAACGCUAGCUUGUAACUCGAGUGAGGGCAUUAAGGUGGGCUUGGGGGAGAAUACGAAAGGGAUCUGGCUCUCUCGCCUUU